Molecule: microRNA precursor, 87 nt
Filed under: Canis lupus familiaris (dog)
Lineage: Eukaryota; Metazoa; Chordata; Mammalia; Carnivora; Canidae
Also listed under: 1 other name
Description: mir-8799 microRNA precursor family
Rfam family: mir-8799 microRNA precursor family
Source: Rfam by way of RNAcentral
GGGAGGGGGGCGGAUCCAGGGCUGUGUCCCCGCGCACUGUGCUCCGGUCUGCGCUGUUGGAUUCACGCUCCCGCCCCCGAGCCCCCC